GUGGGGAAUAUUGCGCAAUGGGCGAAAGCCUGACGCAGCGACGCCGCGUGAGGGAUGAAGGUUUUCGGAUCGUAAACCUCUGUCAGAAGGGAAGAAACUACGUUGUGCUAAUCAGCAGCGUACUGACGGUACCUUCAAAGGAAGCACCGGCUAACUCCGUGCCAGCAGCCGCGGUAAUACGGAGGGUGCAAGCGUUAAUCGGAAUUACUGGGCGUAAAGCGCACGUAGGCUGUAGUGUAAGUCAGGGGUGAAAUCCCACGGCUCAACCGUGGAACUGCCUUUGAUACUGCACAACUUGAAUCCGGGAGAGGGUGGCGGAAUUCCAGGUGUAGGAGUGAAAGCCGUAGAUAUCCGGAGGAACACCGGUGGCGAAGGCGGCCACCUGGACAGGUACUGACGCUGAGGCGCGAAAGCGUGGGGAGCAAACAGGAUUAGAAACCCGAGUAGUCC
Molecule: ribosomal RNA, 450 nt
Filed under: uncultured bacterium
Lineage: Bacteria
Description: partial 16S ribosomal RNA
Rfam family: Bacterial small subunit ribosomal RNA
Source: RNAcentral